RNAcentral lists this ribosomal RNA (450 nucleotides) under uncultured bacterium. RNAcentral describes it as "bacterial SSU rRNA". It matches the Rfam family "Bacterial small subunit ribosomal RNA", at positions 355 to 822 of the family's 1533-position model. The record is from RNAcentral.
CAAGGAAUUUUCGUCAAUGGGCGCAAGCCUGAACGAGCAACGCCGCGUGGAGGAUGACGGCCUUCGGGUUGUAAACUCCUUUUCAGGGGGACGAUUGUGACUGUACCCCUGGAAUAAGGCUCGGCUAACUCUGUGCCAGCAGCCGCGGUAAGACAGAGGAGCCAAGCGUUGUCCGGAUUGACUGGGCGUAAAGCGCACGCAGGCGGCUCGGCGCGUGGGGUGUGAAAGCUGGCGGCUUAACUGCCAGAUGCCACCUCAUACGGCUGGGCUCGAGCCCUGCAGAGGUCCAUGGAAUUGCCGGUGUAGUGGUGAAAUGCGUAGAGAUCGGCAGGAACACCCAGGGGGAAACCAGUGGACUGGGCAGGAGCUGACGCUCAGGUGCGAAAGCGUGGGGAGCGAACCGGAUUAGAUACCCGGGUAGUCCACGCCGUAAACGAUGAAUACUCGGCA